GCUAUGUUCGGAAUGGAUAAGCACUGAAAGCAUCUAAGUGCGAAGCCAACUCCAAGAUGAGAUUUCUUUUAAGGGUCGUAGAAGAUUACUACGUUGAUAGGUCGCAGGUGUAAAGGUGGUGACAUCAAAGCCGAGCGAUACUAAUUGCCCGUUUACUUUCUAUUU
This 165-nucleotide ribosomal RNA is filed under the name Chitinophagales bacterium. RNAcentral describes it as "partial 23S ribosomal RNA". It matches the Rfam family "Bacterial large subunit ribosomal RNA", at positions 2748 to 2925 of the family's 2925-position model. Lineage: Bacteria; Pseudomonadati; Bacteroidota; Chitinophagia; Chitinophagales. The record is from RNAcentral.